RNA transcript from Rosa rugosa (rugosa rose), 2089 nucleotides. It is a transcript of the gene named chaperone protein dnaJ 1, mitochondrial, with no coding region annotated. The record is from RefSeq and is a predicted model, not a curated record. Lineage: Eukaryota; Viridiplantae; Streptophyta; Magnoliopsida; Rosales; Rosaceae. The transcript is spliced from 20 exons.
ACCCAGUCGGCGCGUGAAUGACUGAAUUGGACUGGACCGUCGUUCGUUCCGAUUCUUCAUUUCUCGAUUCUUCCACUCAAAUUUCCAGAGCAAAAUCCCAAAUUCGAAAUUUUCAGAAUCCACUUCACAAAACCCUGACGCCCCUGACAUUAUGCGCAAAAUGAGCUUGCUAGGCCUGUGCCGGAGGCGUUUGGUUUCGUCAUUGGCCGGAGAAUCGCCCAUUGAUCAACGGAGGCUUUGCUCGGUGACCGAGGCAUUGUAUCGAACACAUGGUUUGAGCAGCUCUUCUGGUUCCGUAGCUGGUUUCGCAACUUCAUUUGGGAAUCGUUAUUUCCACGCCUCAGGGUUUUGCUGCGCACCGGAACGAGACUACUACGAAACUCUUGGCGUUUCUCGGAGCGCAAGCAAAGAUGAGAUUAAGAAGGCUUUUCGCACGCUGGCCAAAAAAUACCAUCCUGAUGCAAACAGGGACAAUCCUUCUUAUAAGAGAAAAUUUCAAGAGAUAAGAGAAGCUUAUGAGACAUUGCAAGAUCCUGAAAAGAGGGCAGAAUAUGACAUGAAGCAAUCAAGUGGGUAUACUGCUGGUGAUGCAGAAGGUUUUAGAUAUAAUUAUCAAACACAUGGUUCUACUGCUGAUGCAGAGGGGUUUGGACAUGGUUUUAAACCUCAUUUCUCCAGUUCAUUUCAUAAAAUAUUCUCAGAGAUCUUUGAACAUGAAUUCGAUCAAGUUGCACCUGACAUUCAGGUGGAGCUGUCUCUCUCUUUUUCUGAAGCUGCUAGAGGAUGCACAAAGAAUCUGUCUGUCACUGCACAUGUUCCCUGCGAUUCUUGUGAUGGGCGUGGCUAUCCACUAAAGGCCAAGACAAAAGUGUGUCCUAUUUGCAGAGGUAUUGGGAGAGUUACAAUUCCUCCGUUCACAUCAACAUGCAGUACUUGUAAAGGGUCAGGCCAAAUAAUCAAGGAACAUUGUAUGUCAUGUGGAGGAUUAGGGAUAGUUGAAGGUGCAAGAGAGGUUGAAGUUACCAUCCCAGCAGGUGUGGAUUCUGGAGAUACAAUCCGCGUACCAGAGGCUGGGAAUAGUGGGCCACGGGGAAGUCAGCCAGGUUGGUUAUACAUUAAGUUAAAGGUUGCUGAAGAUCCUGUUUUUGCUAGAGAUGGUGCAGAUGUUUUUGUGGACUCUAAUAUCAGCUUUACUCAAGCUAUUCUUGGUGGUAAGGUUGAGGUGCCAACUUUAACUGGGAAGACAGAAGUAAAAAUACCAAAGGGGGUUCAGCCUGGAGAACACGUGGUACUAAGAGGCAAAGGACUACCGAAGCAUGGUUUCCUAGUUCACCAUGGAGACCAAUAUGUUCGCUUUCGAGUCCAGUUUCCGACUAAAAUAAACGAACGUCAACAUGCGAUAUUAGAAGAAUUUGCGAAGGAGGAGAUAAUUCAUGGAAACAGCAACUCCAACGAUAAAGACUGGUUUCAGCGGAUAAUUGAACGUGUUAUGGGUCAGAGAUUUGUGCUUGACUUCUCGAUAUUCUUAUUGAUCCUUUUUUUGCUGAGCAAAACCACGGGCUGACUGUUGGCGCAAGGCGAUUCGAUCAAGAUACAUAGGCCAAUUGUCAUUGCUGUAGAGAUUUGCUGACUUUUCCAUUCUUUGGAGUUCUGUUUAUCGAAGUUGACUUUGGACGUUUUGUCUUCUUUAUUGUAGGAAUGAAGGCCGGUGCAAGUUAAUUACAACUCCUUCAGGCUUUAUCAGGAGCAAAAUUUACAUGAUAAAAAUUACUUCUAAUAGAUAUAAAUGUUUGACCUUCAAAAAACUAUAAUAUUUUGCAUUAUUUUUUUGUUUUCUUGUUGCUGUGUUUUGAACUAACGAUACUAGGGUUUUCAGUUACUGUUACUGAGUAGAAUCCUGAUGUUUACAAUACCAGAGGAUGAAAUCGAUAAGAUGACUCCUAUAGCUUUUAACCUUGUACUCACGCCAAAUAAUUGGACUCCAUAAACUACUCAUGUGAUAGAUAUGGCUUUUACAAAGAGAUUCAAAUGUCAAGAGUCCUUUCUUAAGCGAUGUUAAUAAUAGAUUGUCAUCGACUCGUUGUCAUCA